Molecule: small RNA, 47 nt
Filed under: Arabidopsis thaliana (thale cress)
Lineage: Eukaryota; Viridiplantae; Streptophyta; Magnoliopsida; Brassicales; Brassicaceae
Description: ATSL234420
Source: RNAcentral
AGUUCAUAUUGCUGGUGCAGAGUCUCAGUCUGUAAAUUGUGCAUACC